Molecule: ribosomal RNA, 429 nt
Filed under: Gemmatimonadota bacterium
Lineage: Bacteria; Pseudomonadati; Gemmatimonadota
Description: Gemmatimonadetes bacterium partial 16S ribosomal RNA
Rfam family: Bacterial small subunit ribosomal RNA
Source: RNAcentral
UAGGGAAUCUUCGGCAAUGGACGAGAGUCUGACCGAGCAACGCCGCGUGAGUGAAGAAGGUUUUCGGAUCGUAAAACUCUGUUGUUAGAGAAGAACAAGGACGUUAGUAACUGAACGUCCCCUGACGGUAUCUAACCAGAAAGCCACGGCUAACUACGUGCCAGCAGCCGCGGUAAUACGUAGGUGGCAAGCGUUGUCCGGAUUUAUUGGGCGUAAAGCGAGCGCAGGCGGUUUCUUAAGUCUGAUGUGAAAGCCCCCGGCUCAACCGGGGAGGGUCAUUGGAAACUGGGAGGCUUGAGUGCAGAAGAGGAGAGUGGAAUUCCAUGUGUAGCGGUGAAAUGCGUAGAUAUAUGGAGGAACACCAGUGGCGAAGGCGGCUCUCUGGUCUGUAACUGACGCUGGGGCUCGAAAGCGUGGGGAGCAAACAGG